Pezoporus occidentalis (night parrot) is the source of this 350-nucleotide long non-coding RNA. RefSeq lists it as uncharacterized. The transcript has 2 exons. The record is from RefSeq and is a predicted model, not a curated record. Lineage: Eukaryota; Metazoa; Chordata; Aves; Psittaciformes; Psittacidae.
AGCACAUGCAUGAAAUUCUCUCCAGCCUGUGUGAUGGAAUGAGCUACUUUUAUAUUCAUUACUGAGUUACAGUAGUAAGAUUCCUUGAGAGUACCCAAAUAGCUAAUAGCAGGUUUCAAAAUGGAAAAAGCCUUCAAAAGGAUUUGCAUCCUAGCUUCCCUCUGUAAGAUCCUUCUGCAAGAGAUUUGAGAAUUAGCUGCUGUGCCUGCAGUAUAUUAAAAUCUUUGACAGCCAUCCACUUGGGGAAUCCCUGGUAAAAAAAGAAACAACAGAAAAAUAACCACCUCAUUUUGCUUCAAAAGGUUCACAGUAUCACUUGAAAGUGGAGAAUAAAUCACCAUUCUUGAUAA